CGUGGUUUAAUCAUGCUGGAAUACAGCAUUGGUGUGAAUCGUUGGAAUGGCAAGGGGCAAACACGGUUUAGAUAAAACGCGGCAAAUACGUAAGGAUUUGUUCUGCCUGAAAGCUCAGUCGCGUUCGUUUACUCAAGAAUAUUUCUCGAAGUUCAAUAGAAAACAUACCUUUAGUAAGGAACACAGACUUUAUGGGAUAGCGUAUCGUUUAUUGUUAGGGUUAUCCUAUUGUUUUUGCACAGUCAAAAAGAGAAAGAGUAGAGAAAUAGAGAAAGACAUUAAAUUAAUUCAAGGGCAAUAGGUUUAAUGGGCUGUGAGUCCAGUAUAAAUCUUGUUUACUUGUCAGAGCAAUCACAAUCCUACUGCAUACCAAAGUACUCAUAAAAAUUAAAAUCUUAUAAUACAUAAGCAUUUUUCUUUUUAAAAAAAAAACCCCAAACACUGCUCGUGUGAAGUUCUUUAUUCUGUUCUACAUUUUAAGAAAGGUAAUGAAAACUAAGUCCUUCCUGAAGUCCCCAGAAAAAGUUGAAUGGGAAACACUCAAAGGAGCAGGGUAGGAAGCAGCAUGCUUUGAAAUGAAUGAUUAAAGCAGCGUUUCUUAACUCUGCGGUUGGCUGGGGAAUUCUGGGAGUUGGAGUUUGCACGUUAAAAGUUGCUGAGAUUUGAGAAACACUGGGUUAAGAUGUUGGACCAGGAUGGGAGACCCAGAUUGUAGUCCAUCCUAAGCAACAGAUCUUUGCUUAGGAGAUCCUGCAAGGCAUUGUACGAGGCGUUUAUCAAUUUAAAAAAGGGGUUUUAGGGUUAUUGUGCUAGCAAAUCUGUGAUUGAAUUUCAUGAAGCUCUUAACCAUGAACUGAAAGCUAGAAAAAUCAGUGAUGCUGGGACUCAAGUCUUUAUUAAAGGCAGAAUGCUUCAUGGUUAUGGAAGCAAGUAAUAACACUACGCUUUCAUAUUUGCAGAUCCCAACCAAUAUAGAUUGUACUGUCCUCCCAAUAGGGCAUGGGUGCCAAAUUCAUUGCGUCAUGUUACCGUUACGUGACAUUUCACAUUUUUUCCCUUCAUGGAGCUGGGGUGGGCGUGGCCUGCAUGAGAUGCAUCCGGCCCAUGGGCCGCCAGUUUAACACCCCUGCAAUAGGGGCAUCUUCCAGACUUGUAUCUUGCUUAACUAGAGACAUGGAAGUGUAGUUGAAGAUCUCAUCCGUAGCAAAGAUCCAAAGCAUUAAUCCAAUAUCCAGCAUAGUAGUGAAUAAAUUGAGGGACUAAAAGGAGACUCAAAUUCAAGUCUACCCUCACGAAUGGUGGUACUGGAUGAUUUUGAGCCUAACCUUUUCACAGGAUUAUUUUUGUGGAUAGAUGUUUGGAACAUGGACAGCUAUAGGUAGGAAGGAAGGAAGGAAGGAAGGAAGGAAGGAAGGAAGGAAGUCUUAGCGCAGAUUCAGAUCAACUAACUCAACCAUUGCAUCCAUUUUGCUUGGAAAGGGUUUGAGAAAAGCAAAGUAAUUAUAAAUGUGGUAUCUAGUCUUUCAACUCUUUAUUCAAUCUCUGUGAAUAAAAGGAUGGCAUCGAACAAUGAUACACCAACUUAUUGUACUUAACUUGUAUUGCUCCCACUGAUUUCUACCUGAACUAUUUAAUACUCCCAGGGGAAUGUGCUGUUAUUAGCAUGAUUUAUGGCAGGGCUUCUCUACUUUACAGUAGCUCACAGGUUGAACAGAUUAUAUUGUUAUUGUAGCUAGUCAUAGUUUCCAGCUGGGCCAGUGUUGCAAA
This is a non-coding RNA of Pseudonaja textilis, 1767 nucleotides long. The record is from RefSeq and is a predicted model, not a curated record. NCBI's taxonomy places the organism in Eukaryota, Metazoa, Chordata, Lepidosauria, Squamata, Elapidae.